This 530-nucleotide ribosomal RNA is filed under the name uncultured bacterium. RNAcentral describes it as "bacterial SSU rRNA". It matches the Rfam family "Bacterial small subunit ribosomal RNA", at positions 16 to 518 of the family's 1533-position model. The record is from RNAcentral.
AUUCUGGCCCAGGACGAACGCUGGCGGCGUGCCUAAUACAUGCAAGUCGAACGGUCUUUCUAUGGAAGCUUGCUUCCACUGAGAGGAUAGUGGCGAACGGGUGAGUAACACGUGGGUAACCUGCCCAUAAGAGGGGGGAUAACAUCCGGAAACGGGUGCUAAUACCGCAUAGUUUUCUUGAUCGCAUGAUUGAGAAAGGAAAGACGGCCUUUGUGCUGUCGCUUAUGGAUGGACCCGCGGCGUAUUAGUUAGUUGGUGAGGUAACGGCUCACCAAGACGAUGAUACGUAGCCGACCUGAGAGGGUGAUCGGCCACAUUGGGACUGAGACACGGCCCAAACUCCUACGGGAGGCAGCAGUAGGGAAUCUUCCGCAAUGGACGAAAGUCUGACGGAGCAACGCCGCGUGAGUGAAAGAAGGUUUUCGGAUCGUAAAACUCUGUUGUCAGAGAAGAACAAGUUGGAGAGUAACUGCUCCAGCCUUGACGGUAUCUGACCAGAAAGCCACGGCUAACUACGUGCCAGCCGCGGC